Dioscorea cayenensis subsp. rotundata (Guinea yam) is the source of this 858-nucleotide long non-coding RNA. RefSeq lists it as uncharacterized. The record is from RefSeq and is a predicted model, not a curated record. The transcript has 5 exons. NCBI's taxonomy places the organism in Eukaryota, Viridiplantae, Streptophyta, Magnoliopsida, Dioscoreales, Dioscoreaceae.
CCUAGAGUCUCCUCAUUCCCCCCUCGGGUUUCUCUCCCUUUUCUUCUCUAAAACAUCAGAUCAGCGGAGGCAAUGCUCAUGAGUCAUUGAUUCUCUGUUUUUCUCUCACUCAAUCUCAAAGAUGGAGCCCUAACCCCCGUGGAGGUGAUGUUCUCCUCCCUCGGGUUCACUGCCUCUGGCUCACUUCCCAACCAUCGACACCGUGGCCUCCCUUCCGACGCUCCACGGAGCUUGUUUUCCCGUUCUUUGAUACCAAUUCGGAAGGCCUGCUGUUCUAUGGUCAUAGCGUCACUGGAAAGAAGCCCCGAGGCGUCUUGGAUCUCCACUCCGGGGAAUGCCAGCGAUGGAUAUGGCUGUUGGGCUGUUCGGAAGGCCCAAAUAGUGAUCGCAAGGAUCAUCUGAAGCUUGUGCUUGCUAUUGUUGGAACUUCGGUGGCGAUUCUCUUGCCUGUGCUCACAUAUCGAUCAACAUCGAGAAAAGAUUGGCUUGGCUUUGAAGAAGUUGUUUGAAGAUGGGGUAGUGAAGUGUAAGGAUUUAUUUAUCACUUCAAAACUUUGAUUUGCCAGUUUGCAGAGUUGAAUCUAGAUGCUUUGUUCCUCCAAGUGAACUAUGAAGAGCAUAAGUCAAUGUGUUAUAGUUUGAAUGUCUAUGUUCUCCCCUACUUUAGGUUCUACAGGAGAGCUCAUGGCCGACUUUGUAGUUUCAGCUGCACCAAUGCAACUAUAAGAAUUAAGAAGUUCAAGGAUGCAUUGCCCAAGCACAACACAGAAGAUAACUUGUUUUGUAUUAACUUCAAAAUUGUUUUGUAUUAACUAGUUUUCUCCUUAAAUUCUUAUGUUAUUGAAUGUUUUUUGUCAA